GCCAGACUCCUACGGGAGGCAGUAGUGAGGAAUAUUGGUCAAUGGGAGAGAUCCUGAACCAGCCAAGCCGCGUGAGGGAAGACGGCCCUAUGGGUUGUAAACCUCUUUUGUCGGAGAACAAAACCCGGGACGUGUCCCGGACUGCGUGUAUCCGAAGAAAAAGCAUCGGCUAACUCCGUGCCAGCAGCCGCGGUAAUACGGAGGAUGCGAGCGUUAUCCGGAUUUAUUGGGUUUAAAGGGUGCGCAGGCGGCGAGUUAAGGCAGGGGUAAAAUUUGGGGGCCCAACCCCGACAAGCCGUUGAAACUGGCUUGCUAGAGUGGGCGAGAAGUAUGCGGAAUGCGUGGUGUAGCGGUGAAAUGCAUAGAUAUCACGCAGAACUCCGAUUGCGAAGGCAGCAUACCGGCGCCCAACUGACGCUCAGGCACGAAAGCGUGGGUAUCAAACAGGAUUAGAUACCCGUGUA
Molecule: ribosomal RNA, 464 nt
Filed under: uncultured bacterium
Lineage: Bacteria
Description: bacterial SSU rRNA
Rfam family: Bacterial small subunit ribosomal RNA
Source: RNAcentral